This is a small nuclear RNA of Styela clava, 193 nucleotides long. RefSeq annotates it as U2 spliceosomal RNA. Lineage: Eukaryota; Metazoa; Chordata; Ascidiacea; Stolidobranchia; Styelidae. The record is from RefSeq and is a predicted model, not a curated record.
AUCGCUUCUUCUGCCUAUUGGCUAAGAUCAAGUGUAGUAACUUUACUAUUCAGAUUAUUACCUGAAUUGUGGGGUACUCCCCCACUCUUGUUUUAAUUUCAUUUUUGCGACGACAAGAGCGAGUGUUCGGCUUGCCAUUUGCUCUCACAGGUCGGCUUAGCGUUACACUACAGCCUUGACUGGCCAGUCACUU